This is an RNA transcript of Plutella xylostella (diamondback moth), 2431 nucleotides long. It is a transcript of the gene named mitochondrial ribonuclease P catalytic subunit, with no coding region annotated. The record is from RefSeq and is a predicted model, not a curated record. Lineage: Eukaryota; Metazoa; Arthropoda; Insecta; Lepidoptera; Plutellidae.
AUUGACAGUGUUAGUCACACACAGUCAGAGAGCCACAAAAACAAAAUUGAAUUGAACUUUUGUUGAAAGUCGACUGAAAUAAUUUAAACUAUUUAAUAAUAAAUAAAUUUAACAAUGUUUUCAUUAAGUCGGCUUUUAUUAAGAAGAACAUAUUCACACUCCUCAGUAGCUUAUGGCUAUGCAAAAAGACUUCCUGAACAUAAAGAGAAGAUACCUAUUACUGAGCAAAAGGAUUUUGUGUUGUCAUCGCUGAAAGAUCCAAUUACGAGCUGGCCAGAUUUUAAAACUAGUGUUCUCAGCAAACAAGGCAUUAUGACAGAGAAAAACUUUGAUGGAGUUAUUCUUAAAUUAAUGAUUACUUCAAGAAAUUAUAGAGCCGCAUUAUCAUUUGUUGAAUUCAUAAAAAAAACGAAUGUUGAACUAUCAUUGGGUUCAAUAAAUGGCAUUCUUCGAUUGUAUGCAACAGUUAGCCUAGAACAUAAGCUUACAGAUGACCAGAAAAAAUUUAUACUAGAUAUGUAUGACUAUUUGUAUAAAAAGUAUCAAGUUCUGGAUUUUACCACUAGCGAGGAGCUGCUUCAUGCACUCUGUGCCAUCAAUGAAUAUAAAAAAUCAUUUAAAGUUUUAGAGGACAUUUAUUUAUCAAGCACUCCCAGUACUUCUACUUUCAGUACACUUAUAGCCACUUUAUGGAAUGUUGACAAGAAAACAGAGGCUUUGCAACUAAUGCAAAGAAGUUUAGAAGAGAAGAGACCACUUCAGGACAAAGUAUACCAUGCAUGGAUUGAACACAUAAACAGAAAGUAUAAACACAAAAAAACUAGAGUGAGACAUAUGGAAGAAAUCUGCUCUUUCAUUGUUAAGAAUUUUAUUACAUUAACUGAAGCUUCUGCUGCAAAAUUAAGAGAUAAUUUUGUAUUGUAUGGGUGGAAAGCACAAAAUGCAUCAAUAAGAAAACAUAAUGGCCAGUGUGUUUCAUGCACAGAGUUUCUUGAUGACCUAAAACUAACAGAGGCAGAGUUUGGUUUAUUGCAGAAUAAUGUGAAAGACAAGCUAAUAGUUGGUUCAGACUUAUUCCUAAAAUCAAGCCCGGAUGAGUUGAAAAGAUUCUUGCAUUUCCUAGAUAAGAAUGGACCAUUUGAUACAGUACUGGAUGCACUAAAUAUAGCUUUAGCAGUCGGGAAGGGAAAUAAUGCUGAUAAAGCAAACUUCUUAGCAAAGGUUGUUAAUUACUUUACAGAGAACAAUACCAAUAUUUUACUAUUAGGCAGAAAACACAUGCUGAACUGGCCACGGAAGCCUAUGGAAUAUAUUGCAUCUCAGGCCCCAUGCUUUUAUACAGAUGAUUUGUCCCAAGAUGACCCAUACUUCAUAACUGCAGCGAUAAUGAGUGGGCCUAAAACGGAUAUAGUGUCCAAGGACUUGCUCCGAAGUCAUCAUUUCCUCAUGAAGGAUGACCGCUUACGUCUACUGUUCCGAAGGUGGCAGUGGCAACAUCAGUGGAUGGUCUUCAUGGGCAAAAAGAAAAUGCCACAUAUUCAGCCACCACUCAAGUUCACGCCAUGCGCCCAGCAUAACAACGGCAUAUGGCAUCUGCCGUUUCAGAAGGAAGACCUGGAUACCUUCGGCAGGGUGAACGAUGGCUACCCGGCCUGGUCCACGUGGCUGUGCCUGCGACCGGAUAACCCCAGUUGACCUGACAAUAAAUGAGUUUUAUAUCUCCGUGGACAGAGAACGAAGACGUAUUUUCACGUUAUAAAAAAGUAUCGGCGGGCGGCUGUGAGGCGAUCUUAGACAAUACACCAUGUUGUCAAUAUCUAAUGCGAUCAUUUUAAUAUGUGCCGUAGUUGCUGAUUCUUUCAUUUUCAUACCAAAACAGGCAAAAAUUACAUAUGUUAACCAUAAGUUUUUGACCUGGGCCAAUGCAUCGGUCACGAGGUACGGCCGCAAGAGUCCCUACUACCUGAAUAUGGAAGGUGAAAAUAAAGUGCCAAUCGACGGUACGUUCAUACUAAACAUGGUUGUGUACCAAUUUGUAAGUAACGAAUAUCGUCGUAGCUUCGUUGAAUUCCAUUUGCCAUUUUGUGAGUUUGUAAAAGAUCCUUACUUUGGUGGAAUAUUUGGGAAGUUCGGAUACAAUUUGAAAUGCCCUAUAACUCCGGGUACGUACCAUUUUGUGAACAUGACAUUUCCUACCGAAAAUUUCCCUUAUGUGUGGCCUUUUGAGAAGUGCUUAUUUAAUAUUUCCUUGGACAUUAACAAUGUCCCUGGGGUCUCCGGUUUCAUCUUGAGUAAUAUUAUAUCAAAUCCUAGAAAGAAGACGUGAAAACAUUGUGACUACACUGUGCAUCUAUUGCACUGUGUAAUACUUACCUAAUAAUUAUCAAUACCUUUAUUAAUUAAAUAAAUAUGUGGAGAAUAAAUUAUUAUU